Long non-coding RNA from Homo sapiens (human), 3229 nucleotides. Ensembl annotates it as D21S2088E. The record is from Ensembl. Lineage: Eukaryota; Metazoa; Chordata; Mammalia; Primates; Hominidae.
UGCACUGACCAUUUUCCUACUUUUGAGGUUUUGGGACUUGGACUGAGCCGCUACUGGCUUCCUUGCUCUUCAACUUGCAGACAGCCUGUAGUGGGACUUCACCUUGUGAUCAUGCUGCUGACUAACUUAAUGAACUGAACGGAUUAAAAUGGUGCAAGAGAAAAGGGCAUUUUUACACAAAAGGAAGCAUUUUCUGUGUUCCAGUUCAGCUGUUCCAAUGACAUUUGGUGGUGUUAUCAGUGUGAAUUAUACAAGCAAGUUUCUUUAUCCAGACUGACGCAUCAACCAUGAUCUAGCAUUUGCAAGAUGUGUAAUUACUUUGACUUUCAAGAAAACAUCUUCUGAUCUAAGGAACUUCCCAAGAUAUCAAAGCUGGCUGGCUCAGGAAUACUCUCACAGUGAUGGCAGAAGAGCAAAUCUGGAAGUUCAAACACUCAAAUGUGUUGUUGGAUUUCUGCAUGCAUCACAUGGGCUAACAACUGGUCAAAGCAAAUCACAUGGCCAAACUAAAAAUCAAAGGCCUGGAAGACAGACAAAGUGCUAUAUUGAAGGUUACAGAAGAAUAAAGAAGUUCUGAAUAGAACAGAAGCUUUCAUAAGGCAGGGGUUAUAACGACCAACAGAGACUCCACAAAACCAUUUACUCACAAGAGAAAAUAUGGCACGGAUUGGAUUAGAAGUGGAAAGACUAAUGCAUUUUUGUCCAUAAGGAUUAGAAGAAAAAUGGUUCUCUCAGCUCUGCAAAAACCUGGACCCCCAACAAAAAGACCUGUUGACAUGUAGACCUCAGAUAAGGGAGAACUGAGGAUUGAGCUCUGAUCACAAUUCUUUUUUCUACUGUUCUUCCUGAGGGGCCUGGAGGAAGUCACAUCCACAAGCCAGAGCUAACCCUUUUUCUGCUGACCCCAAAUUUUUAAACAAAGCUUCUUUUCCUUAACCAAUUGCAAAUCAGAAAAUCUUCAAAUUUGCCUAAGACCUGUAAGCUUCUGCUUCAAUAUGUCACACCUUUUCUUAGGCCAAACCAAUGUAUAAACUCCGUGUAUUAAUUUAGACUGUAACUUCUGCACUCCUGAAAAUUUCCCCCGGCUUUGAAAACCCUUUCUUGUAAGCCAGCCGGGAGUCUGGGUCUUAAACAUGAGCUGCCUGAUUGUCCUUGCUUGGUGCCCUGCAAUAAAUGCCUGAUUGUUGUGGUGCAGUUUGGAUGUCAGUAUUUCGCUUUGCUGGACCACGGAGGCCGACCUAUGUUUGGUUCAUUCACUAACAUAAGGAAGUGGAUUCUGCUAAAACACAGUGAGCUUAGAACUGAAUGCUGAGACUCUCUGAUGAGAUCAUAGCUCGGCUGACAUUUUUAUUUUAGCUUGGUUGAGACUAUAAGCAGAGAACCCUGCCCAGAAUCCCUACUCAAGGAAACUGAGAUAAUAAAUUUUCAUUGUUCUAAGCCACUGUUUGUAAUAGUUCCUUACACAACAACAAUAAUAAUAAGAGUAAUAAAAACUAAUUCACUUGCUUUCAUGGAACUUACGAUUAUUAAGUGAGACACAUUAUGAAUAUCUGCCCAAAAAGUAAAUAAUACAAUUUCAGAAAAAUAAGUGCUUUGGAGUACAUUAAUAUAGGUGAGGUGUAAGAGAAGGUGAAUAGUGUCUCAAUGAUAGAAGUGUGGAUACCAAAACACUAUUAAACCCACCCAGUUUUUUCAUACACAUUUCUGUUGGAUGAACAUAGAAAUUGACCCUUCUGGGCUUUAAGCUUGAAACUUACGUUUGUUUUAUCUGAGUUCCUUCCCCAGGAAAGGAUCCCAAAGGCCUCUAAAAAAGUAUACAAAAACCUGAAACUAACCAGAUUAUUGCAUUCAGAUGAUGAGAUGCCAGGACCCUCAUUCAUCAUGAUUGUUCCUUAUCCUCCCUGCGUUCCCCACACAGUUACAUUUCUUCCCUGCUAUAUAAACCCCUAAUUGUAUUCAGUCAGGAAGAUGGGUUCGAGACUGAUCUCUCAUCUCCUCAGCUGCAUCACCUGAUUAAAGCCUUCUUUUUUGGCAAUGCUCAUCCUCUCAGUCAUUGGUUUUCUGUGCAGUGAACAGCAGGACCUAGACUGAACUCCUGGUAUUUUGGUAACAACUGCAAGAAGGCUCAAAUUGCUGAAAUUCAAAGGAAGUCAACACAUUGUAAGAAGAGCCAAGAGGGUACAUGGCAGAGCAGAAUUUGACACAUUAUAAGAUGAGCCAGGAGGGUAUAUGGCAGAGCCAAGAGGGUACAUGGCUAGAGGUGUCGUAAGGGAGUCUGCUAGGGGAGAGUCUGGACAGGAAGGAAAGGGUCAGAUAAUGAAAGAUCAUGGCAGUAAUUCAUUUCUACAUUUUGAAACUUAAUAAUCUAUUUUUUAUAAUUUUAAAAGCAUUGACCAUUUUUGAGAGAGAAUUUCUGUAGCUUGUUUAGUGUUUUCAAACUCUGUUAAUAUACUUAUUUUUCUAACUAAUCUUCAGUUAAUUUUGAUGAUGUAUUUUAUUUUUACACAGCCGACUAUUUAAUUGUUGUACCCAACUUUACAUAUAAUUGUACACUGAGCUCCAAUUAUCUGUAUAUAAUUGGGAAUCAAAGCCUGUGAGUGACACUUUGUUUUCUGAGUGAUCUUUGGAAUUAAUUAACAUUGAUACUGUGUUUCUGAUUUUCUAUGUAUUAGCGUUAUGCUUGGGUCAUCAGAGAUUUAUUCUUAUUCUACUUUGUGGUUAUCUUGUAUUUAACAACUCUAUGUAGCUAAUCCCUAAUUGAAUCAAUUGUUAUCAUUUCAUCAUAAUAAAAUAAUCAUCAGUAACAAGGCGUGCUGGAGCUACUGGCGUGCAUUGGCUUACAAAAGACCACCAUGGACAUUAUUUCCCAACUCCCUUAUCAGUGGUGCCAUCUUGAGAGUUUGAAAUUGUCAACAGUGGAAAUAGUUGUAUCACAAAAUCAGCAAAUAUUACAAUAAUAGGUUUUGUUUCCUCAGAAAGACAGUUAAAUUUUACUAGCAUACCAGUGAUGAGACACAACCUUUCUGUAUGUCAAUUUAUAAAAAUUUCAACAUGAGACUUUCUUUAAAUCCUACUGGCUUGUCUUGACUUUCUGUGACUCAUAAAAGAAAUUUUUGAAAAAAAAACUUUGUUUUGAUUGCGAUUUAUUCCUAUGUAGUUAUUUACAUGUAUAUUUUUGUAAUUACAAUUAAUGUAAUAAAAUUUAACUUAUAUGUAUAAGAAGUUAAUU